This 449-nucleotide ribosomal RNA is filed under the name uncultured bacterium. RNAcentral's name for it is "partial 16S ribosomal RNA". It matches the Rfam family "Bacterial small subunit ribosomal RNA", at positions 354 to 796 of the family's 1533-position model. The record is from RNAcentral.
GUGGGGAAUCUUCCGCAAUGGACGAAAGUCUGACGGAGCAACGCCGCGUGAGUGAUGACGGCCUUCGGGUUGUAAAGCUCUGUGAUCGGGGACGAAUGGCUGGUGUGCUAAUACCACAUCAGAGUGACGGUACCCGAAUAGCAAGCCACGGCUAACUACGUGCCAGCAGCCGCGGUAAUACGUAGGUGGCAAGCGUUGUCCGGAAUUAUUGGGCGUAAAGCGCGCGCAGGCGGCUUCUUAAGUCCAUCUUAAAAGUGCGGGGCUUAACCCCGUGAUGGGAUGGAAACUGGGAGGCUGGAGUAUCGGAGAGGAAAGUGGAAUUCCUAGUGUAGCGGUGAAAUGCGUAGAGAUUAGGAAGAACACCGGUGGCGAAGGCGACUUUCUGGACGACAACUGACGCUGAGGCGCGAAAGCGUGGGGAGCAAACAGGAUUAGAUACCCCUGUGUCC